UUUUGUUCUGGAAUUGAAGGCUUAAUAAUAGAAUCUAACAUGUAAAUGCAUAUGCAUGUAAUUCUUUAAAUUCCAAGUUCUGAUAUCCAUAUUGAGUUGAUAAAACCGUUUCUAUUAUCUACAUUAACCCAAAGCAGUCUCUUAACCCAAAACCCAAUCCAAUUUAAGAUAAGAGGUUAUUGAGUCGGCCUCUUGCUUCGUUUUGGUUUGUUUCUUAUUUUCAGUCAGUUUUUUUUUUUUUUUUUUUCCUAUGUCAUUGUACAUUGUUUUUAACCAGCAAAUUGAUAUAUGUUUGUUGUCUUAGAAGUACGUCUCUUUCUGUUUUGAAAUUGUGAUUGUCCCAAUAUUUUGAUAGCUUGGAGAUUUAUUUGUCUGGUAUGAAUGUGAAACAAGAAUCAUUGACAAAGUUCCAGUGGUGAUCAUGUGCUUAGAGAACAUCCUCAGUUGAAUCGAUAGAAAAGCAGCUUCCAAGAGCCGUACUUGAAAUCAAGAGCCUGGAUGUGUUCUGAUCAUCAUUAACAAGAAAGAAAGAAAGAGGGUGAGGGAGGUGGGGAUUUUGAAGAAGGAUCCCGAGAUCCUGAAGGAGCAGAUUGAUAAGUUGAAUAAGCAAAGGAAGGCAGCAUUAAACCAGCAGCAUCAUCCAUGGAGACCUUCAACAAAGAGAAAACAAACUAAAGUGUGAUGACACUUUUUAUGUACAAAGAACUGGAGGAAGCAACUUUUUGGACAACCUCCACAGCUGUUAACUACCAGGCUAACAACCUUUUGGCAACACAUAUGCUAACAGACAUCAUCAUCUGUUUUUGACAAGUACAUCAAGCAAUAAUUGUAAUUAAG
Molecule: long non-coding RNA, 837 nt
Organism: Rosa chinensis
Lineage: Eukaryota; Viridiplantae; Streptophyta; Magnoliopsida; Rosales; Rosaceae
Exons: 4
Source: RefSeq, a predicted model, not a curated record